RNAcentral lists this ribosomal RNA (460 nucleotides) under uncultured bacterium. RNAcentral describes it as "partial 16S ribosomal RNA". It matches the Rfam family "Bacterial small subunit ribosomal RNA", at positions 338 to 795 of the family's 1533-position model. The record is from RNAcentral.
CCUACGGGGGGCAGCAGUGAGGAAUAUUGGUCAAUGGACGCAAGUCUGAACCAGCCAUGCCGCGUGCAGGAAGACGGCUCUAUGAGUUGUAAACUGCUUUUGUACGAGGGUAAACGCAGAUACGCGUAUCUGUCUGAAAGUAUCGUACGAAUAAGGAUCGGCUAACUCCGUGCCAGCAGCCGCGGUAAUACGGAGGAUUCAAGCGUUAUCCGGAUUUAUUGGGUUUAAAGGGUGCGCAGGCGGUCGGAUAAGUUAGAGGUGAAAUCCCGAGGCUCAACCUCGGAAUUGCCUCUGAUACUGUUCGGCUAGAGAGUAGUUGCGGUAGGCGGAAUGUGUGGUGUAGCGGUGAAAUGCUUAGAGAUCAUGCAGAACACCGAUUGCGAAGGCAGCUUACCAGGCUACUUCUGACGUUGAGGCACGAAAGCGUGGGGAGCGAACAGGAUUAGAUACCCGGGUAGUC